UAGGACACUGCUGUUGUGAGAUGAUGCACGGAGAGAUGAUCAGGCCUUUGGAAGGGAAAAGAAAAGACUUUGUCCUGCCUCUAGCUUGACUGUAAACCAAGGUGUUCCUGCAGCAGCUCACACACCUCGUGGGUUUGGAGACAGAGAAGGUGGUUCGGAAGUCUCAGAAGAGAUUCUUUUAAAGCUAAUUGACUGUACAAGAGAGAAUAAACAGAUCCUGAGAAGAGAAUGAAAUGUCCACAGAAAAUAUUUUACAUCCCCAAAAAUGUACUUAAUAUAAGUCUCUUUCUCAGCUUUAGUCUCUACUAACAGAGACAAAUGAAACUACAACUAUCAACAAGAUAUGAAGGAAUACAUACACUCACUAUCUCACUCAGUUAUGCUCCAAACCCUAAUUUUCAUACCAGCUGCAGGUUUGAUUUACAAAGACCUUUAUGGUUACUAUCUUGGUUUCCUUAGAGACCACCUUAGACUCACACUCCAUGUUUUAUCAGAAAAAGGCCAAAUCACCUGAGGUUUUUUGGAGCCUGGAUGUUGUCUCUGAAGGUACUGGUGGCAGAGCUGUUUUGGCGGACAGCCCUUACAGCAGAUGUUCUCACAGGGGCUCACUGGUUCACACAGGCACUGCUUUUUUCUUAAGGAUGAGUAGCUGAAGAUGAAGAUAAUAACUGAGGAACCGAGACCUGCUCCAGCAAAACACCUAAGCAUACAAUGAAGUAUUCUUUUGAUCAAGAGCUGAGAUACUUCAAAGAGAGAUGUAUUAUGGCAUCAUGGAGAAAGUGGCUUGAUGUUUUGCCUCAUUCAGGAGGUAAACCAGACUGUCUUCAUGGUUCAUUAAUUUACCGGCUAACGUGUAACACCAUCCAAGAGUUCUCCAGUCCAACAGCAGAGCCAGGCACUGCUGUACUGUCUUUGAUGACAGCGUGCUAAUCCUGCAGAGCCGCAUAUUUGGCUGACACUUUGAAUGGCUGCUGUGGCCUCCUGUCAAAUUACGCAGCAUCUACUUUAUUCCAUGCUUCAUGGUUUGGGACUUCUGGCAAAGCAUGAGAUCAGCCUCUGCUCAAUAGUUCAUAUGCUGGCUGUGAGACCUUUUGCGGCCUGCAGCUUUUCUGUCCACCAAUUUUGGAGGAGCUUUGCCUGCAGAAGGCUCACUACUCCUUUCUGUAGAGGACCAGAAUACAUGUCACUCUGCUGGGGAUAUUUUGAGUUCUCUAGUACAUUUCCAGGUGAAAAAGUACAAUCCUGGCUAGAAAGCUGAUAAGAGGUUAUCACGAGCUUGCAUACUAUCCUUCUUUAUGAAUCUCAUGGCUUUAGUAAGGAAGAUAAUCAUUAUCAGAAAGACUCCCUACUAGAUGCUGGAGAAGACCAUGUACAGAAAUCAGAAGUACAAAGUUACUUUUCUGUUGCAGAGAUUUUGGGGUAUGUCUGCCAGGCAUUGAUUGCCACAGGCAUAACUGAAGUUCCACUUUCCUCACAGAGUUGCUUGCAGUACUUUGAUCCUGAUUCUCCAGCCAUUGCAGCUGCAAGCUGAAGUCACAGAUAUUCAGGUUUGUUCUGCACCCUCUAUACACACACCAGCCUGGAGCUGAUGGAUUCAUCAAUCAAUGCUGGUUUUGAGGUCCUGAUCAUCUGAAUGAAUUUAGCAAACUACAAGACAUGAAAUUACUAUGGUACAUCCAAGGGUGCCUAGAAUAAAGAGUGUCACACUCCUCCUAGGAGGAAAGAAAGAAAGAGGAGUAGAGCGGGAAUAUGCACAAGCAAGGAAAUGGCCACUCUGGUAAAUAUAUCAAAAUCAUAUGGACCCAAAUAAGACCUCUGGUGGAAGUGGGAAGAGACAUUGUUGCAACCAAGGGAAUGAACCCUUUUUUUUGCUGCUCCCUUACAGCACCAGGAAGUCCUUUUUCAUUAUUAUACGUUCUUGAUGUAAGAGGCAUCUCCUGGGGAAUUCCAUUUUUUACUUGUGGUGACAGAAUGGAGGAGAUACCCCUGGAAGAACUGGACUCCACAGAAGAAAUAUAUGCAGCUAAGUAUAAUAGUAUUGAAAAAUAAAUCAAUAAUUAUAAUUUUCACGGCACUCGAGAUCAGUCAGGACAAGGAACAUAGUCAGCUAAUUAACGUCCUCUUCAGUUCGCAUCACUCCACUACAGUGGGACUCUGGAUUGGCACAGCACACCUGCGAUCACCUUCAAUAGCCACUGGAUGUCACUGAUGAUCCACACAAAAUCAGCUUAACCCUUUAAACAUUAUCUUGUAAUGCAUGGAAGAGCCAGCAAAGAGGUCACUUACUCCCAUGAAGGUGGGGAUGUGAGUUGUCUAUCACCAACAUCUGCAAUGGCAGAUAAAUAAGAAAGUAUCAAAAAAACCAGAUAUGGUCAACUGCAAGGCACACCAUGAGUCAGGAUACUUCAAAGUACUAUUUGAAUGUGAGAUGAUGGCUACUUAUGGCCCUUGAAAAUGCGCUAUCAAGCCUUCUUGUAUGUUCCAAUGCAUAACAAAUUAAGUGGGAGGACAUCUUUUUUUUUAGUGUUGGACUGUUCUUUUCACAGCAUAUAAAAACUGACUGGAAAUUUGGUUUUCUUAUUUAGACAUUUCAACAACUCUGGGAUUUUUCUGGAAGGACUAUAGGAAUUCUUUCCCUUAUCUGGGGAUUCUAAAUUGCCUUAGUUUGAUGAGAAAUAAAUAAUUUUCCAGCAUGUUCCUUCUCUCUGAAAGACAAAAUUCUCAAUGGCAAUCCAAAGGAGAGAAGCAGAUUGUUACCUGCCAUAGCAAGAAUAGUAGAGGAAUGAGAACAACAUCAAAACCAAAGCAUUUAUAUUCACAAACACAUUCUUCUUAUAAUUGGCAAAUUCAUGAUAGUGAUGAGCUGGUUCUUUCUGUACUUUACUACUGAGUAUAUUAAGUGAAGAGUAGUGAGAAGUGUACUUGUCUAUUACAGAAAUGAAGUUCAAAAGAAGAGUUUUCAAUGUUUUGGGGCCAUUGCAUUCUAUCUGGAUUUAAAUGGCUUUCUUUUUUAUCCUCAUGAAGAUUUCUUUUCCUUCAAGCAGAAGCUAUCAUCUUGAGAAAUCCAUGUAUCAAUUAACUAGUUUAUUUCCUCUAACAUUUCAACUUAAUUCUUUGCUUGCUGCUUGAUGCCAAUGUAUCCUUUUGUUCGAGGAUGGUAUGGAGAUAGUGAUCAGAGCUUUUAAAGACUCAUUUACAGCUAGGGUAAGACACAGCACAAUGAGCUCUUUUCACUGAUACACUUUUAGAUAGCUCAUUAACUAUAUACUGUGAAGCCAAUUGAAUCUUUAAAGAAAACGACAGUAUAUUCUCCAGGUAAAAGUCUAUUUAGUUGCCCAGUUGAAUCUGAAAAAUUAUGUAAAAUGUUGCAAUGUGAUAGUAAUUGUCUGUAGAAGCAAUGCAGAAGCAACCACAUAAUGAUCUAUGAAUAAGAAUCUUACCUGGCAUGUGAAUAAAAAUUAUUCUGUUUUAAAUAGUCUUUCUUUUCACAUUGUGUUUCUCAGACAGCUUCAUCAUCUUAUCUCUGGCUUUAGACAACAUCCAUGGAAUGAGAAAAGUCAGCUUCCAACCUUGCUCCAGUAUAGAGUAUAACGAGGAGCCCAAGAGCCAUGUUUCAGUCCACACUGAAGUAUUCUGGCCUCCAUGGAGAAAGCUGAUUCUUCAAAAUAUAUAAUUUCACAAUAUUAACAUUGUUUAACUAAUAAAAUAAAUUACUACUACUGAUUAUAAAAUUAGCUUGCCUUAAAAAUAAAAAGUCAUCAGUAUUAUUUCCAGCAGGUGCUUUCCGUGCGGUGCAUUCUGGCGGAUAACUGCAUACAGUAUAACAAGAAGUGAAACCUCCAUUUAUCUUGAGAUGAAUAAUUUAAUUAUUUGUUCAUGAGUGUAAUAGUGUAGAUUCAUCUGUUUUGAGCGGAUUUCUUUUGUCAGGUCUUGUAUUUAAACACCACUUUCCCAUCUAUUGCUGUAAAAUCUGAUGUGGUAUGAGUGGGACUUGGCAAUGACUGGAGAUACACUUGCUUCAACAAGUCUCCAAUAGUUGAGUCAGUUGCCUCAGAUGGCUCAUUCAUUUGUCUUCAGAGGAGAAAGAAGGGUUCUUCUGGAGGAGAUUCAGAGAUUCAUAAUGUCAUGUCCCUCUAUAAAGCUCUGCAGCACAGUAAGGGUGUUAAAAGAGCGAGCGAGUGGGGUAAUCCUGGUGUUCACAAUGGAAGUUUAACACAGGGUUUUGUUUAGGCAAGGUUUUGCUUCACACGUGCUCUAGCCUUUGGUCCUGCAUUAAAGACUGAAACUCACAAAGUUUAUUUUCUUUGGUACACCCCAUCAUUUGACUUCCUGUAACAGGAAUGGAGUGCUCAGAGGCAGCUCCAUGAAGGCUAUGCACUUGAUGAUGUGCUCAUAAACCUAACUGAGAAGUUAAUGGGGACCCACUGUAAGGGUACAAUAAACCUUCAAAGAGAUUGUCCACUUAGUAUAGCUAAUGUAUAUGCCUUAUUAUCUCCAUCUUAAUUUAUCAAAAAUAAAAAUUGCUACAUGCAUUUAGAAUACUCAAAAAAGGUAUAUUCUGUUAUAUAUGCUUUCUUUUUUGUUUGUUGUUUGUUUGUUUUUCAGAUUCAGUAGCUAGAUUCACAGGAUCUCAUUUACAUCCUGACACUGACUCAUUUAAUGAUGGCAAGUAGGAAAUUUAGAAAAGCAGACAGUGGAUAUGAGAAUUUUGUUUUGCCUUCUGGGAAGCAUUCCAAGAAGGCAAAUCCUUUUCCCCUGUAACCUGCUUUGUAGGCUUUGAUGCUGCAAGAUACAAUCAAGCCCAUGACAUUAUAUUGGAAAGCAAAUAGGAUUUUGAAAAACUGUGAAAGAGAUCCAUGUGCAUACCUAAAGAAAAGAAAAGCAAGAAAAAAUCCUUCUGAAAGGAGAGAGAUAUUCUUCAUAAUUUUUUCCCAGAGAAAAUAUUUGUAGAUUAACUGCCGGUGUGCAUUUGUCAAAAGAUUACUAUGCAUGUGUGAAAAAGGACAUCAAUAGAGAGAAUGAAACUACAGAAAUAGAAUGAACACUUACAAACUGUGGUGACAGAUUUACUAAACUGAGACCAGAGAAGGAAAAAUGAGUACGUUUAAAAACAUCUGUGUAAUUGGUGAUUCUUUUCAGAUGCUGUUUAGUGCAGAAUGGACAAUAUACAAAACCAGAAAAUGUAAAUGCAGGAGGAAGUAUAACUUGGGACUUUGCUUCUCAGAGAGGCCUUUAUGCAGACAGUGGCACUUUGUGCUCAUUCACCACUAGCCUGCUUCCAACUACCGGAGAAUAUUCAUGUAUUCUUCCAGACUGAACCAAAAUUAUCCGAAAGUGUCUCCUUCACACCAGGAUAGCCUGUGCAGGGGUGAGGUGAGGUCUUAGACUUCUCAGACAGUGGAAGAGGCUGAAUUCAUUAGUCCCUGACUUCACACACUAGCCACUGAACUAUCACAUGUCAGGGAAGGACACUGCACUGUCACCACCUUCUUGGAAGGAAGAAUCACUUUCACUAGGUUUGGUGCUAGCUUCCACAAGAUGAAAGGCUGUCUUGCAAUAAAGGAAGGAAGUCCCAGAGAUGAACUGGAUUUAAGAAGUGCUCUUUCAUCUAAGUCCCCUUCAUUUUAGUAUAGAUGUCUCUACAGACCUGUGCCAGUUGUUGUAGACGUAAUUUUGAGGGACCUAGCUCUCUCAAUGCAAUGUUUGGGGAACAGAGUUCUCUAAACCAGUGAAGUGAGCUCUGCUACUGGUGGUCAGCUAUCUUACCUGCUGUAUAGGCUCACUCUAUUACAUUAAAUGUAGAAAAUAAGGAAUAAAUUGAAGUGUAUUUCAAAAAGUUAAUGCAUUUUUCUGUCAGUUGAGCUCUUUGAUUAUAUUCAAGUUUGUUGCUUAUUGUGUAAAAUGCAGCUUUUUAUAGAACCUUUAGUUUUGCAUGGGGUUUGAAUCUAAUAUAUAAGAGGCAAGAUGAGAAUUUGUAAAAGUUAUCUGGUGUGAUUUUAGUAGUAAAAUUUCUAUUGACUUCAUUUGGUGAAGAAUUAGCAGAACACUGAGACCCUUUUUAAAAAUCUCACCCUGAGAGUAAAGCAAGGCUCUGCAGUCUUUAAUACUGUACAGUGGAUUGUGUUGGAUUGUCCAAUAUCAGAAAUUUGGACCAACUCAGAAUUGAACUUAGACUUGUUUCGACAGAUUACUCAAAGGAUAUGAAAGUCAGUGUUUGCCAUUUUUAUGUUUUUAUAUCAAUUUUACUGUUACUGUGGUAAGGCAGAAGUCCUAUGAUCCAGCAAAAAGCCUGCCAGAAUGUACCCAAGUGUUUUGAACUACAAGAUGACAAAGUGAGUUUAUACUCACACAGCUGACAGAGUGAGGGAGAAGUGUUUUCUGUCAUGUGACUGCAGCAUUUUUUAUCUGGUAUUAGCUACCUGAGAGAUGAAUUGGCUACAUCAUUCAAUUGCCAUCUGAGUCUCUCAGGCUCUGCCAACAUGAUGUUUGUGAGGCUUUGACUGUGUGAGCUCUGUGUGGAUCAAAUGGGUGCCAGCUGUAACCUUGCAAUUGAGCAGAUCCUGCUGGCCUGGUGUUGGUUGUGAGCUCUCAGAUCCUGUUCGGAAUUUAUGUUGGUUUAGGCUCAGACCCAUGUGAACAGGCUGCAUGUUGUCUGGCCAGAUUGCAAUAUUGCAGAAUGAGCUUAUAUUUGCUUGGAGGGGGAAAAGAAAAAGGGUAAGCUUGCAUGUCACUGUAAAAUACUGCCCAGGCACACAUUUAGACAAAAUCCAAAAUGUACUCAAAAAUAUCUUUUUGUGAGUCAUCUGUCUGAGAGAAGGGCAAAACCCCAGAGCCCCAGAGCUCUGCCCUGUGUAAAUUUUGUGCAUUGACAUCUGCUUGCACUAGUGACAAAAUAUAUAUAUAUAUAUAUAUAUAUAUAUGUGCCAAAGCCUACUCGGGUGAUCAAAAACUACUUUAUAUAUCUAUUUGCAUGUGACAUUUUGCACUUGCACACAAAGGAAAACAGGACUGAGUUCUCUUUGAAAGAGUAACUCUUUGUGGUUGCAAACCAGGGCUAAAAUGAGUGCUAAAAUGAGCGCAAACCAAUAACCCUAGUAUGUUAACUUAUGAAUGCCACACAGGUGGCUUUCCUUGGUUUACAUUCAGAACCUCAGGGGUCUCUGUUGUAGGCUACUGCAUUCCCUGCUUAUUCUGAUCUGUUCACAGCUCCACUCUAUGUACCCCUGACAGAGACGGACCUCCUAGUGACAGUGGCUCCCUUCUGCACAGUCCAGAAUUGAGUGCUUUAGAGAUGAGAAGCUAAGAGUGGAAUAUUGGAAAGAAAGGUAGAAUCAGAAUUUCUCCUUCAAAUGAUACUUACGGGUUUGUAUAAUCUUGAGUUUUUAAAAGUGUUUUUUGCAAAACAGGUUUGUUGCUGUCAUGGAAAGCAGCACCUUAGAGGUGAAAUAAUUCCCUGCCAUCCAGUAGAUCUUUCUCCACACUCUUUUAUCUCACUUCAAGCUAUUGUUUGAUCAAUAACAGCUUAGAAAGCAAGUGUGUCUCAGCUCAGGGGGGUUUUUGGUGUUACUCUUAGGAAGUUUUCUACAUCCAUCUAUAUGUUGUGCACAGGUGCAAGGAACAUUUAAUGAGGACAUACUGGUGAAAGACCAACAGCAUUACAGAAUACAUUUAAAUUUCACAACAGCACAGGGGGUAGCAUUCAAUAGCCCAGACAUUUUAGGAUGCAGUUACAGAUACCAUAGGAUCAAACUUGAUGAAAUAGUACAGAGAGAUCAUCUGAAGUCUCCCACGAUGAGGGACAAUAACUAUAGGAACUGUUAAGCUUGGGAUGCUUGUCCUUCAAGAUUUGAGAUCCUUUUCUUUCUAAAUGAAAUUUUCUAAUAGUUUUGACAAGAUUUAGAAAAAUGUUCAAGAGCAUUUGAAUUCUAGUAUUUUUAAAAUAAAAUAUUCCAGGGGCAAGUCCAUAAAAUAUUAAUGAAGAAAAAGGAGGUGAAAUAUCAUGAAGACACAAAGCUAUUUUGUUCGACAUUUAUUUUUCUUCUUAGGCAAAUAAAAAUGUCUUCCUUUUUUUUGGAAAAAUUUUAAUUUUUCUUUACAGAAGUAAUGUGCUUAUAUGACCAGAAAAAUGAAAAUUAGUUAUUCUCAGAAUUAUAAUCUUAGUACUUCCAUUUAAUUGGAGGCAAUUGCCAUUACCAAGGCCAUUUUCACAGCAUGAGUAAUUUACUUACUAUGCCUUUAUCAUUAAUAAUCACAGAUGGACAAUAAACUGGUCCAUAAUAUGUCCCCAUCCAUCACAGCUUUGAACCAAAAUGGCUUUAGACAAGGCAGGCUAAUCUGGUUUACCUGAGCAGCCCAUUGCAUAGGCAAGAACUGGAAGAACUCCAUCUGAUUUUACUUUUUGUGCUUUCUGUAAUAGUAAGUGAUUAGCUGUGAAUCCAUAUUGUAUGUCAGUUGUAAAACCAAUUUUGGAAGUUUUACAGUUUUGCAGUCCUGAGCAAUGUUGAAUCUUUCAUGCUAUGCAGUUGCCAGGAAGAAUUUAAGCAUCAGCAUAUCUCUAAUAAGAGAAUAGUGCCUUGGAAAUACAAUUGGAAAGUUCACAAUUUUUUUUCUACCUUUUUAUACAUUUUCUGCCUUUUAAACCUCUUGUCAGUUACUAUUUCAGGUGAUUAUGUCUGUAGACAGAUAGUGCUGGCAUACCUCUCUAACUAUAUAAAUAAUUCCAAUAAUUAUAAAAGAUUGAGAAACUAAAUAGCUCUUAAACAUUCUACUGGAUUAACAUAGAUAUGCUAUUCUAAAUCUUCUGCUAACUUUUAUAUGUUUCUUUUUUUGCCUGAUAACUUUUAAACUUUAUAUUUCUGAUAACUUUUACACAUUUCCAUCCCUCAUACUCUACUUUUUUAGUACACUUCUAACAAUUAAAAUUGUAUAAAUUACCCACUUUUUUGAUGAUUUUUGUUUCUUGAAAACUUUUGCUCCCUUCUUAUUUCACAGUUUCUUCACUACUACUCUUAAUUUUAUCAAGACAGAAUAACUUGCCAUCUCUUGUCUCUUUUAUGUUCAUAAAGUACAAGUAAAAUGUUCUGAAGGUAAAUCUUAGCUAUAUAUAUGAUUUAAAAAUAAAUAAGCUCAGUUCAAAACUCAGGGAAGGUGCAGGAAAAAUGCCAAGAUGGCUUCAGACUCCAACCCUUCCUAUAUUUACAGGAUAACAACAGUAGUGGAGAAUUCCGCCCUCUAAGUCCUUGAAAAUAGUGCUUGAUCCUACUCUCAGGGUAACUUUCCACACAUUUAUUAAAUCUUUUUCAUCUCAGGUAGGGUUUGCAACAGAGUUGCUGCUGGUGGUGUUAUUUACUGUGGAAACUUAUGAAUCAGCAACGUGGCUGAGACCACCAACUUCUUGGCCUGCUACCCCUACACUUUUAUUAAUCUGUUGCAUCAUGCUUUCAUCAAGAGUUAAUAAUUUAAUGUGCAGGUCUUGUAUUAGCUUUAACUCCAUCAACACUGUGCUGCAAAUAACAGGCUGGAAUUAUUAUGGCAAAAUAUCACAGGCUGGGUAGAACACUAGGGUAGGAUGUACUAUCAUUGAAUAGCAUUUCACUGCUGAAACAAAAGCUCUCUGUUUGGCACGCUCAGUAAAGGAGUUGAUAUCCACACUUACCUUAAAUUUUCAGGAAUAUACCCACAUCUUUUAUAACUGCAACAGAAUAAUAAUGUAAUAAAUCAGUUUUAUGCAUCCUGUCUCUGUUAAAUCAUGGGAAUAGUAAUUAAAUUGUGCAAUGAAGACACUGAAUUCAAUUUCAGCAAAAAAAUCAUCCUCCUGUCCUCUUUCAGGAAAAAUACUAAGUUUAGAGGUGGGAAGUAAAUGGAGUGAGAUAAAAAGGAAAGGUGUUCCUCACACUGUUUUCAGCUGUGUUUUUCCCUAUUUGGCAUAGAAGUAUAUUUAUAGUGCUGAAAGGAGAAUAUACAUGGGUAAAUGAAAAGCAGUGUUCGUAAUCUGGAAUCUGUAGAAAUAGAAAUCUAAGCUUUGGUAAUUAGCUGUAGGGUAGUAAAAACCAUGACAGGUGCUUAUCAUAGACAUCCUCAUGGGUCACCCCUAGCUGAGCUGCUGACAUUUAAAAGAAGCCACUUGAAUUCCAUUAGGCUUCUUUCUCUAUCCUUGUUAAACCCUUUUCUUCCAUGGCAGCCCCAAGCCUCCUAGAGAAGCGUGCAAGUCACAUGCAAGCACUGCCAAAAAGACACUAAUUGGUGCCCCAACUGGCACCCUCAGAAGAGAACAGGCCAAGGAAGGAGGCUAAAAUACUUUCCAGGUCAGCCCAAAAGCAUUUUGGGGCAAAUGCGGAAAGCUCAAAAAACUCUUGCCUGAAUUUACAUCUCUUCCAGCACAGAGCGAACAAUGCUUUUAAUAACUGCUAAUUAUUCCCUUCUAAAUAACAAUUUUAGCAAAGAACACCAAGUUUAUUUACUAUGUGAGCUGUGGUUCUCACUGGAACAAGAUUCUUUUGUGUGUGUUUACAUGUAUAAAUCUAUCUGCUGUUCUGUCUUAUGCACUGGUCAAGUAGACCUUUAUAGCAAAAGAAAAUAAAUUUAACUCUAAAAGUGUUUGUCAGCAAAUCUGGCCUAUAUAGGCACUGAUCCUGCUACUUGUGAAAGUUUGAAAAUAUGAAAGCCUUAUUCUUCAGAGCUGACAUUUCAGUUCCAAGAACAAUCAUUUUUCUAGAAAUAGAUAUGCUGAAUAAAUAUUGUGCUUUUGUUUAAUUUGAUGGGUAUAUGUUCUUUAUUAUUGUAUAGCCACUCCUUCAGCUAUACCUCCAUGAUUAUUUCAUUUCAGCGCAGGGAUACUAAGUAGAAGUCUGACCACUUAUUCACCUGGAAUUAGGGAUUUUCUUUGGUCUGGAGGCAACAAACAAUAGUUCUCUUCACCUCAUAUCACAGGUCUAAAUGUCAGUUUUAUUUGCUUCUGAAAUGAGUUUUACUCAUUUUUCAGAGUGACUUCUGACAUUCAUUGUGGUCUGUAUAAACAAUAGAGAAUAACUGUUUGC
This is a non-coding RNA of Zonotrichia albicollis (white-throated sparrow), 11036 nucleotides long. Lineage: Eukaryota; Metazoa; Chordata; Aves; Passeriformes; Passerellidae. The record is from RefSeq and is a predicted model, not a curated record.